Pipra filicauda (Wire-tailed manakin) is the source of this 215-nucleotide long non-coding RNA. RefSeq lists it as uncharacterized. The transcript has 3 exons. The record is from RefSeq and is a predicted model, not a curated record. NCBI's taxonomy places the organism in Eukaryota, Metazoa, Chordata, Aves, Passeriformes, Pipridae.
UAUGCACUUGCUGAAGCAUCCAGUGAUCAAGCUGCCUUUGGGAGUUAUCCUUCAAUCUUCGUUUAAUUAAGAACUCUAAGGGUCCUUCUCCAGGAAGAAAAAAGCUACGAAGGGGACCCUAUUAAAUAUAACCAUUAUCUAGAGGCAGUUGGAAAUAACAGAAAAUAAUGAGUUAGAAGACCCACCCUGGAAAAUUUGGACAUUUGCAAGUAAAG